AUGGCGGGGAGCACGACGGCCGCGCCGGGCGGCACCAUCGGCGCGGGCCAACCGUGGCGCGAUCGGAGGCCCUCCUCAUGGAUUUGUAGCUGUACAGCUUGUGAUCUCCUGGUUGUUUUGUCUGCCACCGGCUGGGCACCCCCGCGCCCACCACCUGCUCGUGCAAAUGCGCGGCACAGCCCAGCACUUGCACCGCCUGUUGAUCCCGAUGCCGGCUACCCUACCUCCGGGAUGCUUACUAGGAGACCAUGUGCAACCUUCUUGGUGGAGAUACCUUUGCGAAAAAUAGAGAUGCUGCCCCAGAGGACUGGCAUUAUUGCUCAAAUCAAGCUGAGGCUUGCUCCGGAUGAUUCAAGGAGCAGGGGAGGUGACUGCGAGCAUGCCUGUGAUUUGGUAUCCAGCUCCUCCUCGCAUGAGAAAAUACAGAGGUCGUGUGCUCUUUCUGAAGAAGGCGACAGCAGACCGAAGCCCAUUCACCCGGUGCCGGCUGUGAACCACUUUAAUUAA
Molecule: ribosomal RNA, 507 nt
Filed under: Triticum aestivum (bread wheat)
Lineage: Eukaryota; Viridiplantae; Streptophyta; Magnoliopsida; Poales; Poaceae
Description: partial small subunit ribosomal RNA
Source: RNAcentral